Vicia villosa (hairy vetch) is the source of this 2441-nucleotide long non-coding RNA. RefSeq lists it as uncharacterized. The record is from RefSeq and is a predicted model, not a curated record. NCBI's taxonomy places the organism in Eukaryota, Viridiplantae, Streptophyta, Magnoliopsida, Fabales, Fabaceae. The transcript has 4 exons.
AUUAACUUUUUUUUCUUCAGGUUUUGUUACUGAAGUAAAAUCCAAUGAAGUAAAAGUAUGGCGUGAUUCAAGCAGGUUGAGUGAGUCCAAUGAAAUGGAAAGUGACAGUGCUUCCAACAAGCAUGCUGAUAAAUGGGCAAAGAAUAAAAAGGGGAAAUUCAAUUUGAUAUGUUUCUUUGAUUCUUUACUCAUAUUUUUCUAAUACAAAAGUUGUCGUCAAUUUGUGAAGGAUGGCGGCCCAAUGGAAUUUUAUGGCAGAUAUGACUGUUCAAGUACCAAAUUUUAUGGCAUCUUCUCUAUGCACAAAUAAACCUAAAAAAACCUUAACUCCUUUCAAUUGUAUUCCCAAGCUGCAGAAUCAUGCCACCACCCCGAGGGUUCUACUUCGACGCAGAGAAGAAACGCUAUUUCCUAAUAAAAAACCCCAAUCCCGAUCAGGUAUUACAAUAAUUUCUCAAUUCCAUAUCAUUUCUAAUGUUUGAUUGAAUCCAGUUGAAUUGAAUUGAAUUUCGUAACAGAAGAAAAGAAUAAAAGUUCUUGUAGGAAGUUUCAUAAUCAACGUCGAAGCUGCUUCAGAUUAGGGAGUUAGACGUUCGUCAUGUUAGUGCCUCACAUUGUUGCAAGUGUAACUUCACUGACAAAUUACAUAGAAGACGAACGUCUCAGCUUACCGUAUGUUUGAUUUUGUUUUUUUUUUAUAAUGUGAUUCUUUAUGUUUGAGUUGAUUUUAAUGUAGGAUUAGAAUUUGAAGGUUUGGAAGUAUGAAGGAGUUGAUAGGAUGUGUAUUAGUGCUUUAGAACACUUGAAUGUUGAUGUGCAGAUACUAGAAAGUAGAAUUUGGAAUGAUGUUUUGUUGAGUGAAAGCAUAAGUGGCCCGCUGAGGUAGUUGGUGUUCAUGUGAGAAUGAAAUAACCAAAAGGGACAUAUUUGUUUUAGUUCAGUAGCAUUAACCAUUGGAUAUAGCAUGAAUUAGUUGAAGGGCAGAUAAAGCAUUCAAUAAUCGUCUUUAGAAGGAAUAUAGAGCCCUUCGUAAAGUAAGUAUAUAAUCCUUUAUUUUUCAUACUAACAUUGUGCUUCACUAUUUACUUUUAUUCACAGUUCCAAUGCUUACUAUUUUGUUGUACAAUUAUAGAGUUUUUGGGCGUGAAUAUGCUUAUGUAGGAAUGCUUUUCAUUAUUUAACUCUCAACAUUUGAAAGAUCUAGAGUAACUCCCUUCUGAUUUGAAAUAGUUAAACAUGUGUUGGUGUUGGUUAUUGUUUCUGAAAGGGGUUUCUGGUGUUAUGGCAGAAUUUAGAUGAAUUAAUAGAUAAUUAUGGACUAGAAGAUAUGUUUAUAGAGUAUGAGAAUAUUUUGCUGAGCAAAGUUAUCAUGUCUGAGGAUGGCAAAAGCAAAGAACAUGGCUUUGUUCAAUUUGAAAAAGAUAAAUCUAUUAAUACUUUUAUUGGAAAACUGAUUGGCUCUAUUAUCCAUGAUAAGCAUAUGUAAGUAAAUUUAUGCAUUGUUUUGUAAUAAUUUUUUCAUCUUCCAUAUAUGUUCAUGCUUUGAAUUAUAUACAAUUCUUGGGGGGUUUAAAGUUAAUAGUUGUAUUCACUUUAUGUACUAAUGUUAUUUCUUGAGAUUGAUUUAAUGGAAUUAGAUUAAUCUACACAGAAGCGAAAUGUACUGUUGGUAGAGAAGGAACCAAUGCUUGAGUGAUUUUUUAUGCAUUAAAUAUGACACUGAAAUGGCUAAGUGACACUACGAAACCUGCAUAAUUUGAAAUAGUGUAGAUUAUUCUUUCUGUUAACUAUUUUCUUUACUUUAUGUUUCUCAUAUUCUUAGUUUUACUUCAAUACAAUAUAUGUUGAGUAGCUUAAAAGUUGCAUCUGAAGCUGUAAGUAAGCUAUAAUAAGCCAUAAUGGGGAAGCAAAUGUCUAAUUGAUGCAGGUUCAUCUUCGCGGAGAAAAUGCAUUGCCGUGACACAAUGAACAUGCACAUGAGAAAAGAUUAAGGUGUCACAUGAGCAGGAAGGUAAACCAAAAAAAGUUUCAAACUUAGAAGAUUGAAAUAUAAUGGUUGAGAAAUCAUAUUGCAAGUUGAAAUACCUAUGAAUCUUUUUGUGCAAAAGCAAGCAGUAAUUGAAAAGCCAUCUUUGUAUGCAGAUUUCUACAAAGAUAAUACUAUUUAUUAUUAAAGAGUAAUUCAUAUUCAAAAGAUGAGCAUCAGAAGUUCAGAUGUGGGCUGAUCUUCUGAUGGUUACUCAGAAGAUAGUGUUGACCAGAAGUUUUACCUUCUGGGUCCAGAUAGCGUAGCUAUUUAGUUAAAGGGUACUUUAGUAUUUGUUGGUAUUGUAUUGUUUGUACCUUUAGACUUGUUCACUAAGUUUACUCUAUUAGGGCUUACGUGGCAAGAUUUUCUUUGUAUAAAUAGCCUUGUAGUAGCUAUCAUUUAACAACACAAG